CUACCUACGGGAGGCAGCAGUGGGGAAUAUUGGGCAAUGGGCGCAAGCCUGACCCAGCAACGCCGCGUGAAGGAAGAAGGCUUUCGGGUUGUAAGCUUCUUUUGUCAGGGACGAAGCAAGUGACGGUACCUGACGAAUAAGCCACGGCUAACUACGUGCCAGCAGCCGCGGUAAUACGUAGGUGGCAAGCGUUAUCCGGAUUUAUUGGGUGUAAAGGGCGUGUAGGCGGGAAUGCAAGUCAGAUGGGAAAACUAUGGGCUCAACCCAUAGCCUGCAUUUGAAACUGUAUUUC
RNAcentral lists this ribosomal RNA (292 nucleotides) under uncultured bacterium. RNAcentral describes it as "partial 16S ribosomal RNA". It matches the Rfam family "Bacterial small subunit ribosomal RNA", at positions 335 to 641 of the family's 1533-position model. The record is from RNAcentral.